RNAcentral lists this ribosomal RNA (433 nucleotides) under uncultured bacterium. Its description in RNAcentral is "partial 16S ribosomal RNA". It matches the Rfam family "Bacterial small subunit ribosomal RNA", at positions 29 to 507 of the family's 1533-position model. The record is from RNAcentral.
AACGAACGCUGGCGGCAUGCCUAACACAUGCAAGUCGAACGAGACCUUCGGGUCUGGUGGCGCACGGGUGCGUAACGCGUGGGAACCUGCCCUUAGGUUCGGAAUAACUCCCCGAAAGGGGUGCUAAUACCGGAUAAUGUCUUCGGACCAAAGAUUUAUCGCCUUUGGAUGGGUCCGCGUUGGAUUAGCUAGUUGGUAGGGUAAAAGCCUACCAAGGCGACGAUCCAUAGCUGGUCUGAGAGGAUGAUCAGCCACACUGGGACUGAGACACGGCCCAGACUCCUACGGGAGGCAGCAGUGGGGAGUAUUGGACGAUGGGCGAAAGCCUGAUCCAGCAGUGCCGCGUGAGUGAUGAAGGCCUUAGGGUUGUAAAGCUCUUUUACCCGGGAUGAUAAUGACAGUACCGGGAGAAUAAGCUCCGGCUAACUCCGUG